Long non-coding RNA from Canis lupus familiaris (dog), 1995 nucleotides. RefSeq lists it as uncharacterized. The transcript has 10 exons. The record is from RefSeq and is a predicted model, not a curated record. Lineage: Eukaryota; Metazoa; Chordata; Mammalia; Carnivora; Canidae.
CAACUGACCCAGUACGCAUCAGAGCUUUCCAUCCUUGGCAGUGUGAAUCAUCAGGGCAUCAGAACUAACCCAAUUCCCACUGGACGGAAGAAGGCCAUGCUCUUCAGGCGUGGAUCACAGACACUGGGACGAAGUGGAGAGGCGAUGUAGAGCCAACAAGGGACAACCACAGCCUGGAUAAAGAUGGCUUGUUGUGGAAAGAAGUUCCUGAGGUCAACUGUUCCAAGCUGGCUGACUACCACCUACCAGGAAUCGCAGAACAAGGGAAUUACACAGCCAAGAUGAGGUGGCACAUCGUAGUACGGCACCUUUCUAAAGUGUCUGCAUUGUGACAAAGAAUAAAAAAUAUAGAAGGUGAUAAUGUAAAAAAUGGAAAGAACUGGAAAAGAUGCUUGCCAGAGGUGCUGAGAGGGUUUCACAGGGCUGGCCCCUCCUGCAGGAUGGAAGACUACAUCAUGUGGAGAAGAGGAGUCAUUCCCCAGAGCAGCUGCCAGAAGCCACAGCUUGCCAUGGCUUGGGGCCACUGCCAGCAUUCCACAAGGUGACAGACUUUGAGGCUGAGGGAUGUUCUGCUGCAAGAUAUUGAAGACUUUGUCUACACACAUAUCAUACUUAGGAUUGUCCUUUCAGUUCACCUCUUUAAAGAGAGAGAAGUCUUACUCUUUGAUUCCUUGAGACUGUCUGCAUAGAAAAUUACGUUGCCUCGUCCUCCACAGUAACUGCCAGGAAUCCCGUUGCCUGGAGACCACUCUUGAAGAACAUCCACUGCCGUGGCCUCUUGGAGAUUUAAGGCAUCUAAUAAGAAGCUGUCAGAAAUCAUCAGCUCGCUCCUGAGAAAGUAGCAUUUUUUAAAAAGUCACAAUAAAGCACUUAUCUGGAUAUUACGUAUUGCAGUUAAUACAGUUCCUUCUGGUCACUGGAAUUCUUUAGAAUGAAGCAGUUGUAUGAAAUGGAAGAAGAUGGCAUAUUGAAGAGAGGAGGUCCCGUUUCUUCCAUUUCUACCAGAAGAGCAUCCCAGUUCAUUGUUGAAACCCUCGUGUGAUGGUAUUUGGCGGCGAGGACUUUGGAAAAUAAUUAUGUCAUGAAGAUGGAGCCCUCAUGAUGGAAUUAGUGUCCUUCGAAGAAGGAGAGUACUGUCUGCUCUUCGCUAUGUAAGAACACAGCAAGAAGACAGCCAUCUGUAAGUCAGGAAGAGUUACCUCACUAGACAUACAAUCUGCUGACACCUCGAUCUUGGACUUCGUAUCCUCCAGAACCAUGAGAAAUUGCUGUUGUUUACCCCCCCUACUCUGUGGUAAUUUGUGGUGGCAGCCCAAACUAUAGAUGACACUCACAAGGGCCCUUUGUAAAGAGACAGCUCUUAAUAAUCAGGCUCUGAUAAUUACAGGAGCUAGGACUACAAUGAGCAGCAAUGAGAUAUGGGGCUGCAGGAAGAAAAGCAACAGAUGGAUUUGAUGUAGGAAUAACUAAACUUGGCUUAAUGGACUGGGAGCCUGAAACUUGCCAGUAAGACUUCAGUUGCAGAAGGCUACAUAUUGCAUAAACUUUAUGGUUGACAUUUGCUACCACAAACUUCAGGGAUUUACAGAGGCAAACCCUGCAACUAGGAGAAGGAAUCUGAAAUGUUUCCAGUCAGUGUGUUGCUCCUCAGAGAACAAGGUGGCACAAUAAUUGGGAAUCGGGCAGUUGGCAUGACACAGCCUGUGUUUAGUUCCUGGGUCUGUUAUUUCUCUUGCUCGCUAUUCUUUUCAUCUGUAUGAUGGGAAUAAGACUAGUAUCUAAGUUGAAUUCUGUGGUGAGAUUUAAAUGAGAUAAAUCCAUAGAAAAUGCCUAGCACAGUGCCAGGCACAUAUGAAUUCUCCGUGAAUAUUAUUAGCUCUGACUAUCCUCAUAAGAAUUUUACCUUCAACUCUGAAAUUUUGAAUUAUAAGAUGAAAAAGUAUUCAUUCAUUAUUUAUUCAAUAAAGAUGUAUGCUGUACCUUCAAAAACUAGAU